GACGAACGCUGGCGGCGUGCUUAACACAUGCAAGUCGAACGGAAAGGCCCCCUUGUGGGGUACUCGAGUGGCGAACGGGUGAGUAACACGUGAGUAACCUACCCUUGACUUUGGGAUAACUUCAGGAAACUGGGGCUAAUACCGGAUAGGAGCUCCUGCUGCAUGGUGGGGGUUGGAAAGUUUCGGCGGUUGGGGAUGGACUCGCGGCUUAUCAGCUUGUUGGUGGGGUAGUGGCUCACCAAGGCGUUGACGGGUAGCCGGCCUGAGAGGGUGACCGGCCCCAUUGGGACUGAGAUACGGCCCAGCCUCCUACGGGAGGCAGCAGUGGGGAAUAUUGCACAAUGGGCGGAAGCCUGAUGCAGCACCGCCGCGUGCGGGAUGACGGCCUUCGGGUUGUAAACCGCUUUCGCCUGUGACGAAGCGUGAGUGACGGUAAUGGGUAAAGAAGCACCGGCUAACUACGUG
RNAcentral lists this ribosomal RNA (465 nucleotides) under uncultured bacterium. RNAcentral's name for it is "partial 16S ribosomal RNA". It matches the Rfam family "Bacterial small subunit ribosomal RNA", at positions 28 to 507 of the family's 1533-position model. The record is from RNAcentral.